UAGAGUUUGAUCAUGGCUCAGGAUGAACGCUGGCGGCAGGCCUAACACAUGCAAGUCGAGCGGGCACUUUCGGGUGUCAGCGGCGGACGGGUGAGUAACGCGUGGGAACGUGCCCCUUGGUACGGAAUAGCUCCGGGAAACUGGUGGUAAUACCGUAUAAGCUCUUCGGAGGAAAGAUUUAUCGCCAAGGGAUCGGCCCGCGUUGGAUUAGGUAGUUGGUGGGGUAAUGGCCUACCAAGCCGACGAUCCAUAGCUGGUUUGAGAGGAUGAUCAGCCACACUGGGACUGAGACACGGCCCAGACUCCUACGGGAGGCAGCAGUGGGGA
RNAcentral lists this ribosomal RNA (327 nucleotides) under uncultured bacterium. Its description in RNAcentral is "bacterial SSU rRNA". It matches the Rfam family "Bacterial small subunit ribosomal RNA", at positions 1 to 360 of the family's 1533-position model. The record is from RNAcentral.